CCUACGGGAGGCAGCAGUAGGGAAUAUUGCUCAAUGGGGGAAACCCUGACGCAGCAACGCCGCGUGGAGGAUGAAGGUUUUCGGAUUGUAAACUCCUUUUGUUAGAGAAGAUAAUGACGGUAACUAACGAAUAAGCACCGGCUAACUCCGUGCCAGCAGCCGCGGUAAUACGGAGGGUGAAAGCGUUAAUCGGAAUCACUGGGCGAAAGGUGCGCGUAGGCGGGUUAGCAAGUCAGAUGUGAAAUCCUAUGGCUUAACCAUAGAAGUGAAUUGGAAACUGGUAGUCUAGAGUACGGGAGAGGUAGGUGGAAUUCUUGGUGUAGGGGUAAAAUCCGUAGAGAUCUAGAGGAAUACUCAUGGCGAAGGCGACCUGCUAGAACAUAACUGACGCUGAUGCGCGAAAGCGUGGGGAGCAAACAGGAUUAGAUACCCGAGUAGUC
RNAcentral lists this ribosomal RNA (440 nucleotides) under uncultured bacterium. RNAcentral's name for it is "partial 16S ribosomal RNA". It matches the Rfam family "Bacterial small subunit ribosomal RNA", at positions 338 to 795 of the family's 1533-position model. The record is from RNAcentral.